Molecule: ribosomal RNA, 433 nt
Filed under: uncultured bacterium
Lineage: Bacteria
Description: partial 16S ribosomal RNA
Rfam family: Bacterial small subunit ribosomal RNA
Source: RNAcentral
AACGAACGCUGGCGGCAUGCCUAACACAUGCAAGUCGAACGAGACCUUCGGGUCUAGUGGCGCACGGGUUCGUAACGCGUGGGAACCUGCCCUUAGGUUCGGAAUAACUCCCCGAAAGGGGUGCUAAUACCGAAUAAUGUCUUCGGACCAAAGAUUUAUCGCCUUUGGUUGGGCCCGCGUUGGAUUAGCUAGUUGGUAGGGUAAAAGCCUACCACGGCGACGAUCCAUAGCUGGUCAGAGAGGAUGAUCAGCCACACUGAGAGUGAGACACGGCCCAGAAUCCUACGGGAGGGAGCAGUGGGGAAUAUUGGACAAUGGGCGAAAGCAUGAUGCAGUUAUGCCGGGUGAGCGAUGAAGGCCUUAGGGUAGUAAAGCUCUUUUAACCGGGAUGAUAAUGACAGUACCGGGAGAAUAAGCUCCGGCUAACUACGUG